Molecule: small nucleolar RNA, 50 nt
Filed under: Pyrobaculum neutrophilum V24Sta
Lineage: Archaea; Thermoproteati; Thermoproteota; Thermoprotei; Thermoproteales; Thermoproteaceae
Description: PNEsR53
Source: RNAcentral
GUGAUGAGGACCCCGAUCGCCUAAGACGUGAGGAGUGGUAUUACUUCUGA